UACGGGGGGAGCAAGCGUUGUUCGGAUUUACUGGGCGUAAAGGGCGCGUAGGCGGCCUACUAAGUCAGACGUGAAAUCCCCCGGCUUAACCUGGGAACUGCGUCUGAUACUGGAAGGCUUGAGGAUGGGAGAGGGAUGUAGAAUUCCAGGUGUAGCGGUGAAAUGCGUAGAUAUCUGGAGGAAUACCGGUGGCGAAGGCGGCAUCCUGGACCAUUACUGACGCUGAGGCGCGAAAGCUAGGGGAGCAAACGGG
This 253-nucleotide ribosomal RNA is filed under the name uncultured bacterium. RNAcentral describes it as "partial 16S ribosomal RNA". It matches the Rfam family "Bacterial small subunit ribosomal RNA", at positions 524 to 776 of the family's 1533-position model. The record is from RNAcentral.